This 689-nucleotide long non-coding RNA is filed under the name Homo sapiens (human). RNAcentral's name for it is "HSALNT0368892". The record is from RNAcentral. Lineage: Eukaryota; Metazoa; Chordata; Mammalia; Primates; Hominidae.
CCUCCCUCCCAAAAAAUAUUAUGUUUUUACAUUUAAAAUUUGUGUCUUAACAGAAUCAUAGAGAAGGGAAGCUAAUGGAAAUGAUACAUUUUGAGGAUGGUCAGGGCUGGAUGCCAUUAUUUAUUUAAAGCAUACAAGCCAAACUCCAAUCCUUGUUCCACAGUUCUAUGUUCCCCUGAUAAUGUUCUGUUUGCUGUCCCUGGUUCUACAGGGAGAGAAUUUGCUGGUCAAACUGAUAAGUGACUGGUCACUAGACACACAUCCACUUCUCUUUGUGAAUGGAUUCUCAUUCUGGUAUACAACCUUAUGUCUAGGGUGGCUUUAUGGCAGCCAUCUGGAUCUUGUUGAAGUCUGGGAUGCUGAAGAAGUCUCACUGUGUGAGUUUCUGACCCUGUAAGGUUGAGGCAAGAUGGAAUGAUGGUGACUUUACCAGAAAAAAAUGCUAUCUUGUGAAGUCUCCCUCUUCUGAUAACAAGUGACCCUGCUCCCUCUUUGUGUCAGGCAUGACAACUGGCUUUUCAGCUUCAGGAAUGAAUAUGGACAACUUGAAGGAAGGCUUGCCAAGAUCCCAGUGGAGCCUCAGAUGCAGCAGAUGAUGAGAAGGUUACUGACUUCCUACCCACAUCUGAAGGCAGGGUGUUGCUCCGAGUUGUUUGGCUGUAGUGCGGCCGCGAGCUGCUGCGCUCCUG